UAAAUAUGUGAAGCUUCUAAAUAUGAAAACUUAAAACAAGUAAAAGAGUUUACUAAUAGAAUUACCUGAUGUAAUAGCUGGGAUAACGAGCUCAGCUGAUCACGCAGCUGUGGAUCUCGAAGAAUCUCUAUAACCAUAUUGCAGACGGUAUCUCGGAAGCUCUGACAUCGCUGGCUCAGAAGCCUCUGCACGACCUCCUCCAUAUGCGCAUCACUCUA
Molecule: long non-coding RNA, 218 nt
Filed under: Elaeis guineensis (African oil palm)
Lineage: Eukaryota; Viridiplantae; Streptophyta; Magnoliopsida; Arecales; Arecaceae
Description: long non-coding RNA (EGUI_LNC014378)
Source: RNAcentral